AUCGGCGACUGCGACUAGAGAGAGCACUUUUGCGGCUAUACUUUUCACAUAUUGCUUACUAAAUUUUAAGUUGGAAUGAAGGAGUUAUUGGAUUUUGAAGUCAGUACAUGCAUUCUAAAGGUACUAAGUAAACCGAUUUACUAGUCGUUGUCUCUUGAGCUAUAUCUUGAGCAAUUUGACAAGGUUUUGGCUCAAAAUUUCAAGAAAUGUGUAAUUGCAUGUUAAUAAACUUUGUGCAUAAGUUUUAUGACAUUUGGAGUUCGGGUUUUUGAGAUAUAAGGAAAAUAGUUUUUUGGAUGCUUGUAAAUUAGUGUUUAGAGUGCCUACUAGGGUUUCUUAGAUGCCAGAAGAUCAGGACUGAAUUUGCAGUUGGUUUUUUUUGUGAUAAAAGCAAGGAUGAAUUCUACCUAUUUUGUAAUUUUGAAACAAAUUGAAUAGUUAGAUCAAUAGUUAUGAUUUUCUAAAGUUUAGAGGCAAGAAAACCCUUCAUGGUAAAAAUAUGUUUUGAAGGGAUUUUGUUAUAUUUGGAGUUUUAUACAAAAAUAAAGGAAUUUUGGAAGCUAAGACAAGAAUCAUAUAAAGGUUUAUGCUACACUCUCUAUAGCUAGAUACCUAGUAUAUUCUCAGAUAGCAAAUCAUGCCAUACGACAUCAUAAUCCUAUAAUAACCGCUUUUAAUAACUGAAUCAAUCAUCAGUCCUCCUAAACUGACUAUUCUAUGGAAUAUUAGUUUAUUUUAUUAAUAUCUUACAUAAACAAAUUAAUAUCUAUUCUACAUAAAGAGAUGGAGAACCAACAACCAAUAGAUUCAAUUC
This 814-nucleotide long non-coding RNA is filed under the name Physcomitrium patens. RNAcentral's name for it is "long non-coding RNA (PPAT_LNC001549)". The record is from RNAcentral. Lineage: Eukaryota; Viridiplantae; Streptophyta; Bryopsida; Funariales; Funariaceae.